RNAcentral lists this ribosomal RNA (206 nucleotides) under uncultured bacterium. RNAcentral's name for it is "partial 16S ribosomal RNA". It matches the Rfam family "Bacterial small subunit ribosomal RNA", at positions 568 to 774 of the family's 1533-position model. The record is from RNAcentral.
CGCGUAGGCGGUCUGCUAAGUUGGAUGUGAAAACUCUGGGCUUAACCCAGAGCCUGCAUUCAAUACUGACAGGCUAGAGUUCUGGAGGGGAUAGCGGAAUUCCUGGUGUAGCGGUGAAAUGCGUAGAUAUCAGGAGGAACACCGGUGGCGAAGGCGGCUAUCUGGACAGAGUCUGACGCUGAGGCGCGAAAGCUAGGGAGCAAACA